AGCGUAGACGGCAAGGCAAGUCUGAUGUGAAAACCCAGGGCUUAACCCUGGGACUGCAUUGGAAACUGUCUGGCUUGAGUGCCGGAGAGGUAAGCGGAAUUCCUAGUGUAGCGGUGAAAUGCGUAGAUAUUAGGAAGAACAUCAGUGGCGAAGGCGGCUUACUGGACGGUAACUGACGUUGAGGCUCGAAAGCGUGGGGAGCAAACA
This 207-nucleotide ribosomal RNA is filed under the name uncultured bacterium. Its description in RNAcentral is "partial 16S ribosomal RNA". It matches the Rfam family "Bacterial small subunit ribosomal RNA", at positions 568 to 774 of the family's 1533-position model. The record is from RNAcentral.